AGCCUUUAAAGCUAUCGGAAAGUAAUUAA
This 29-nucleotide transfer RNA is filed under the name Psilaster cassiope. Its description in RNAcentral is "partial tRNA-Thr". Lineage: Eukaryota; Metazoa; Echinodermata; Asteroidea; Paxillosida; Astropectinidae. The record is from RNAcentral.